RNAcentral lists this ribosomal RNA (445 nucleotides) under uncultured bacterium. RNAcentral's name for it is "partial 16S ribosomal RNA". It matches the Rfam family "Bacterial small subunit ribosomal RNA", at positions 354 to 796 of the family's 1533-position model. The record is from RNAcentral.
GUGAGGAAUAUUGGACAAUGGGCGCAAGCCUGAUCCAGCCAUGCCGCGUGCAGGAAGACGCAUCUAUGGUGUGUAAACUGCUUUUGUACGGGAAGAAACACUCCCUCGUGAGGGAGCUUGACGGUACCGUAAGAAUAAGGAUCGGCUAACUCCGUGCCAGCAGCCGCGGUAAUACGGAGGAUCCAAGCGUUAUCCGGAAUCAUUGGGUUUAAAGGGUCCGUAGGCGGUUUAAUAAGUCAGUGGUGAAAGCCCAUCGCUCAACGAUGGAACGGCCAUUGAUACUGUUAGACUUGAAUUACAAGGAAGUAACUAGAAUAUGUAGUGUAGCGGUGAAAUGAUUAGAUAUUACAUGGAAUACCAAUUGCGAAGGCAGGUUACUACUUGUGGAUUGACGCUGAUGGACGAAAGCGUGGGGAGCGAACAGGAUUAGAUACCCCAGUAGUCC